GUGCUUGCUUCAGCAGCACAUACACUAAAAUUAAAAUGAUACAGAGAGGAUUAGCAUGGCUCCUGCCCAAGGAUGACACACAGAUUCAUGAAGUGUUCCAUAAUUUU
This is a small nuclear RNA of Myotis lucifugus (little brown bat), 107 nucleotides long. NCBI's taxonomy places the organism in Eukaryota, Metazoa, Chordata, Mammalia, Chiroptera, Vespertilionidae. The record is from Ensembl.